UUUUGGACAAUGGGCGAAAGCCUGAUCCAGCAAUGCCGCGUGCAGGAAGAAGGCCUUCGGGUUGUAAACUGCUUUUGUACGGAACGAAACGGUCUGCCCUAAUACGGCGGGCUAAUGACGGUACCGUAAGAAUAAGCACCGGCUAACUACGUGCCAGCAGCCGCGGUAAUACGUAGGGUGCGAGCGUUAAUCGGAAUUACUGGGCGUAAAGCGUGCGCAGGCGGUUAUGUAAGACAGUUGUGAAAUCCCCGGGCUCAACCUGGGAAUUGCAUCUGUGACUGCAUAGCUAGAGUACGGUAGAGGGGGAUGGAAUUCCGCGUGUAGCAGUGAAAUGCGUAGAUAUGCGGAGGAACACCGAUGGCGAAGGCAAUCCCCUGGACCUGUACUGACGCUCAUGCACGAAA
RNAcentral lists this ribosomal RNA (404 nucleotides) under uncultured bacterium. RNAcentral describes it as "bacterial SSU rRNA". It matches the Rfam family "Bacterial small subunit ribosomal RNA", at positions 362 to 758 of the family's 1533-position model. The record is from RNAcentral.